AGUAAUCUCGUUGUGUAUUCUACGUAAAAACGCUGUUUUGUGUCAUGGUUAUGCAAUGACGUCAUCACGCAAUGACAUCACAAUGACAUUUAGCAACUUUUAGGAACAAACGGAUCUGCCUUUAGCAACGUCCCCUGAAAAUUAGUUGGCAACACUGUAGGAGUGAUAGAUU
This is a long non-coding RNA of Sinocyclocheilus anshuiensis, 172 nucleotides long. RefSeq lists it as uncharacterized. The transcript is spliced from 3 exons. NCBI's taxonomy places the organism in Eukaryota, Metazoa, Chordata, Actinopteri, Cypriniformes, Cyprinidae. The record is from RefSeq and is a predicted model, not a curated record.